CUUUAACUCUGGGAUAAGCCUUGGAAACGGGGUCUAAUACCGGAUACGACCAACCCUCGCANGGGGUGUUGGUGGAAAGGGAUUUUGUACUGGUUUUAGAUGGGCUCACGGCCUAUCRGCUUGUKGGUGAGGUAACGGCUCACCAAGGCGACGACGGGUAGCCGGCCUGAGAGGGUGACCGGCCACACUGGGACUGAGACACGGCCCAGACUCCUACGGGAGGCAGCAGUGGGGAAUAYUSCACAAUGGGCGCAAGCCUGAUGCAGCGACGCCGCGUGAGGGAUGACGGCCUUCGGGUUGUAAACCUCUUUCAGCAGGGGAGAAGCGAAAGUGACGGUACCUGCAGAAGAAGCGCCGGCUAACUACGUGCCAGCAGCCGCGGUAAUACGUAGGGCGCGAGCGUUGUCCGGAAUUAUUGGGCGUAAAGAGCUUGUAGGCGGUUUGUCGCGUCUGCUGUGAAAGCCCGGGGCUUAACCCCGGGUUUGCAGUGGGUACGGGCAGACUAGAGUGCAGUAGGGGAGACUGGAAUUCCUGGUGUAGCGGUGAAAUGCGCAGAUAUCAGGAGGAACACCAAUGGCGAAGGCAGGUCUCUGGGCUGUAACUGACGCUGAGAAGCGAAAGCAUGGGGAGCGAACAGGAUUAGAUACCCUGGUAGUCCAUGCCGUAAACGUUGGGCACUAGGUGUGGGGAACAUUCCACGUUUUCCGCGCCGUAGCUAACGCAUUAAGUGCCCCGCCUGGGGAGUACGGCCGCAAGGCUAAAACUCAAAGAAAUUGACGGGGGCCCGCACAAGCGGCGGAGCAUGCGGAUUAAUUCGAUGCAACGCGAAGAACCUUACCAAGGCUUGACAUAUACUNGAACCGCUNNAGAGAUNGGGUUUCCCUUUUAGGGCUGGUAUACAGGUGGUGCAUGGUUGUCGUCAGCUCGUGUCGUGAGAUGUUGGGUUAAGUCCCGCAACGAGCGCAACCCUCGUUCUAUGUUGCCAGCACGUAAUGGUGGGGACUCAUAGGAGMYUGCCGGGGUUAACUCGGAGRAAGGUGGGGAUGACGUCAAAUCAUCAUGCCCCUUAUGUCUUGGGCUUCACGCAUGCUACAAUGGCCGGUACAAAGGGUUGCGAUACUGUGAGGUUGAGCUAAUCCCAAAAAGCCGGUCUCAGUUCGGAUUGGGGUCUGCAACUCGACCCCAUGAAGUCGGAGUCGCUAGUAAUCGCAGAUCAGCAACGCUGCGGUGAAUACGUUCCCGGGCCUUGUACACACCGCCCGUCAAGUCACGAAAGUUGGUAACACCCGAAGCCGAUGGCCUAACCCCUU
RNAcentral lists this ribosomal RNA (1310 nucleotides) under Rothia sp. (in: high G+C Gram-positive bacteria). Its description in RNAcentral is "bacterial SSU rRNA". The record is from RNAcentral. Lineage: Bacteria; Bacillati; Actinomycetota; Actinomycetes; Micrococcales; Micrococcaceae.